Molecule: non-coding RNA, 220 nt
Organism: Chiloscyllium plagiosum (whitespotted bambooshark)
Lineage: Eukaryota; Metazoa; Chordata; Chondrichthyes; Orectolobiformes; Hemiscylliidae
Source: RefSeq, a predicted model, not a curated record
AAUUUCAAAUGAAAUAUUUGGAAUUCUGGUGUGGGCAGGAUUGAGCUCUGCUUAUUUUAUGAGCCUGAAGACCGGAUGGAAUAAAGAAGAUAACUGAGAAGAUUGGAACUGGAAACAAGUUACAGAGACACAGUCCCACAGAAGGAGAAGGACAACAAAGGAGCUAGCAGGUAGACAGGAAGGUAAAAACAAGGACUGCAGAUGCUGGAAACCAGAUUCU